This 100-nucleotide signal recognition particle RNA is filed under the name Acidimicrobiales bacterium. RNAcentral's name for it is "signal recognition particle sRNA small type". It matches the Rfam family "Bacterial small signal recognition particle RNA". Rfam says of the family: The signal recognition particle (SRP) is a universally conserved ribonucleoprotein involved in the co-translational targeting of proteins to membranes. Archaeal SRP consists of a 7S RNA and homologues of the eukaryotic SRP19 and SRP54 proteins. Lineage: Bacteria; Bacillati; Actinomycetota; Acidimicrobiia; Acidimicrobiales. The record is from RNAcentral.
GGCUGGGACCUGCGCAACGGAUUCCCCGUGAACCGAGUCAGGGCCGGAAGGCAGCAGCUCUCAGCGGGAGAAUCCGUGUGCCGCAGCCAGCCUGGCCGUC